UUAAGUUAGAAAGGGCGCACGGUGGAUGCCUUGACACUAGGAGUCGAUGAAGGACGGGACUAACGCCGAUAUGCUUCGGGGAGCUGUAAGUAAGCUUUGAUCCGAAGAUUUCCGAAUGGGGAAACCCACCAUACGUAAUGGUAUGGUAUCCUUAUCUGAAUACAUAGGGUAAGGAAGACAGACCCAGGGAACUGAAACAUCUAAGUACCUGGAGGAAGAGAAAGCAAAUGCGAUUUCCUGAGUAGCGGCGAGCGAAACGGAACAUAGCCCAAACCAAGAGGCUUGCCUCUUGGGGUUGUAGGACAUUCUAUACGGAGUUACAAAGGAACGAGGUAGACGAAGCGACCUGGAAAGGUCCGUCGUAGAGGGUAACAACCCCGUAGUCGAAACUUCGUUCUCUCUUGAAUGUAUCCUGAGUACGGCGGAACACGUGAAAUUCCGUCGGAAUCUGGGAGGACCAUCUCCCAAGGCUAAAUACUCCCUAGUGAUCGAUAGUGAACCAGUACCGUGAGGGAAAGGUGAAAAGCACCCCGGAAGGGGAGUGAAAGAGAUCCUGAAACCGUGUGCCUUACAAAUAGUCAGAGCCCGUUAACGGGUGAUGGCGUGCCUUUUUGUAGAAUGAACCGGCGAGUUACGAUCCCGUGCGAGGUUAAGCUGAAGAGGCGGAGCCGCAGCGAAAGCGAGUCUGAAUAGGGCGUUUAGUACGUGGUCGUAGACCCGAAACCAGGUGAUCUACCCAUGUCCAGGGUGAAGUUCAGGUAACACUGAAUGGAGGCCCGAACCCACGCACGUUGAAAAGUGCGGGGAUGAGGUGUGGGUAGCGGAGAAAUUCCAAUCGAACCUGGAGAUAGCUGGUUCUCCCCGAAAUAGCUUUAGGGCUAGCCUUAAGUGUAAGAGUCUUGGAGGUAGAGCACUGAUUGGACUAGGGGUCCUCAUCGGAUUACCGAAUUCAGUCAAACUCCGAAUGCCAAUGACUUAUCCUUAGGAGUCAGACUGCGAGUGAUAAGAUCCGUAGUCAAAAGGGAAACAGCCCAGACCGCCAGCUAAGGUCCCAAAGUGUGUAUUAAGUGGAAAAGGAUGUGGAGUUGCUUAGACAACUAGGAUGUUGGCUUAGAAGCAGCCACCAUUUAAAGAGUGCGUAAUAGCUCACUAGUCGAGUGACUCUGCGCCGAAAAUGUACCGGGGCUAAAUACACCACCGAAGCUGCGGAUUGAUACCAAUGGUAUCAGUGGUAGGGGAGCGUUCUAAGGACAGUGAAGUCAGACCGGAAGGACUGGUGGAGUGCUUAGAAGUGAGAAUGCCGGUAUGAGUAGCGAAAGACGGGUGAGAAUCCCGUCCACCGAAUGCCUAAGGUUUCCUGAGGAAGGCUCGUCCGCUCAGGGUUAGUCAGGACCUAAGCCGAGGCCGACAGGCGUAGGCGAUGGACAACAGGUUGAUAUUCCUGUACCACCUCUUUAUCGUUUGAGCAAUGGAGGGACGCAGAAGGAUAGAAGAAGCGUGCGAUUGGUUGUGCACGUCCAAGCAGUUAGGCUGAUAAGUAGGCAAAUCCGCUUAUCGUGAAGGCUGAGCUGUGAUGGGGAAGCUCCUUAUGGAGCGAAGUCUUUGAUUCCCCGCUGCCAAGAAAAGCUUCUAGCGAGAUAAAAGGUGCCUGUACCGCAAACCGACACAGGUAGGCGAGGAGAGAAUCCUAAGGUGUGCGAGAGAACUCUGGUUAAGGAACUCGGCAAAAUGACCCCGUAACUUCGGGAGAAGGGGUGCUUUCUUAACGGAAAGCCGCAGUGAAUAGGCCCAAGCGACUGUUUAGCAAAAACACAGCUCUCUGCGAAGCCGUAAGGCGAAGUAUAGGGGGUGACACCUGCCCGGUGCUGGAAGGUUAAGGAGAGGGGUUAGCGUAAGCGAAGCUCUGAACUGAAGCCCCAGUAAACGGCGGCCGUAACUAUAACGGUCCUAAGGUAGCGAAAUUCCUUGUCGGGUAAGUUCCGACCCGCACGAAAGGUGUAACGAUUUGGGCACUGUCUCAACCAGAGACUCGGUGAAAUUAUAGUACCUGUGAAGAUGCAGGUUACCCGCGACAGGACGGAAAGACCCCGUGGAGCUUUACUGUAGCCUGAUAUUGAAUUUUGGUACAGUUUGUACAGGAUAGGCGGGAGCCUUUGAAACCGGAGCGCUAGCUUCGGUGGAGGCGCUGGUGGGAUACCGCCCUGACUGUAUUGAAAUUCUAACCUACGGGUCUUAUCGACCCGGGAGACAGUGUCAGGUGGGCAGUUUGACUGGGGCGGUCGCCUCCUAAAGUGUAACGGAGGCGCCCAAAGGUUCCCUCAGAAUGGUUGGAAAUCAUUCGUAGAGUGCAAAGGCAUAAGGGAGCUUGACUGCGAGACCUACAAGUCGAGCAGGGACGAAAGUCGGGCUUAGUGAUCCGGUGGUUCCGCAUGGAAGGGCCAUCGCUCAACGGAUAAAAGCUACCCCGGGGAUAACAGGCUUAUCUCCCCCAAGAGUCCACAUCGACGGGGAGGUUUGGCACCUCGAUGUCGGCUCAUCGCAUCCUGGGGCUGUAGUCGGUCCCAAGGGUUGGGCUGUUCGCCCAUUAAAGCGGUACGCGAGCUGGGUUCAGAAACGUCGUGAGACAGUUCGGUCCCUAUCCGUCGUGGGCGUAGGAAAUUUGAGAGGAGCUGUCCUUAGUACGAGAGGACCGGGAUGGACGCACCGCUGGUGUACCAGUUGUUCUGCCAAGGGCAUAGCUGGGUAGCUAUGUGCGGAAGGGAUAAGUGCUGAAAGCAUCUAAGCAUGAAGCCCCCCUCAAGAUGAGAUUUCCCAUAGCGUAAGCUAGUAAGAUCCCUGAAAGAUGAUCAGGUUGAUAGGUUCGAGGUGGAAGCAUGGUGACAUGUGGAGCUGACGAAUACUAAUAGAUCGAGGACUUAACCAU
RNAcentral lists this ribosomal RNA (2923 nucleotides) under Bacillus cereus. RNAcentral describes it as "bacterial LSU rRNA". It matches the Rfam family "Bacterial large subunit ribosomal RNA". The record is from RNAcentral. Lineage: Bacteria; Bacillati; Bacillota; Bacilli; Caryophanales; Bacillaceae.